This 253-nucleotide ribosomal RNA is filed under the name uncultured bacterium. RNAcentral describes it as "partial 16S ribosomal RNA". It matches the Rfam family "Bacterial small subunit ribosomal RNA", at positions 524 to 776 of the family's 1533-position model. The record is from RNAcentral.
UACGGAAGGGGCUAGCGUUGUUCGGAAUCACUGGGCGUAAAGCGCGCGUAGGCGGCCGGUCGAGUGAGGCGUGAAAGUCCUGGGCUCAACCCGGGGACGGCGCUUCAGACUGUCCGGCUGGAGUCCGGGAGAGGGUGGUGGAAUUCCGAGUGUAGAGGUGAAAUUCGUAGAUAUUCGGAGGAACACCGGUGGCGAAGGCGGCCACCUGGCCCGGUACUGACGCUCAAGCGCGAAAGCGUGGGGAGCAAACAGG